RNAcentral lists this ribosomal RNA (404 nucleotides) under Fusobacteriota bacterium. Its description in RNAcentral is "Fusobacteria bacterium partial 16S ribosomal RNA". It matches the Rfam family "Bacterial small subunit ribosomal RNA", at positions 355 to 776 of the family's 1533-position model. The record is from RNAcentral. Lineage: Bacteria; Fusobacteriati; Fusobacteriota.
UGGGGAAUAUUGCACAAUGGAGGGAACUCUGAUGCAGCGACGCCGCGUGAGUGAUGAAGGAAUUCGUUUCGUAAAACUCUGUUCUAUGGGAAGAAAAGGACUGUACCAUAGGAGAAAGCUCCGGCUAAAUACGUGCCAGCAGCCGCGGUAAUACGUAUGGAGCAAGCGUUGUCCGGAAUUAUUGGGCGUAAAGGGUGCGCAGGCGGCUUUACAAGUUGGAUGUGAAAUAUUGUGGCUCAACCACAAACGUGCAUCCAAAACUGCAAAGCUUGAGUUAAGGAGAGGUAAGUGGAAUUCCUGGUGUAGCGGUGGAAUGCGUAGAUAUCAGGAGGAAUACCGGUGGCGAAGGCGACUUACUGGACUUAAACUGACGCUCAGGCACGAAAGCGUGGGGAGCAAACAGG